Non-coding RNA from Rattus norvegicus (Norway rat), 1722 nucleotides. The record is from RefSeq and is a predicted model, not a curated record. Lineage: Eukaryota; Metazoa; Chordata; Mammalia; Rodentia; Muridae.
CUUAUGUUGGGUUUCCUUUUCUUGACCUUCUAGUAGUCUGUGGAUGGUAAUUUGAGCUUUUGGGCCAAUGCUCACGUUUGGUGAUUGCAUUCCAUGUGUGUUUUUCUGUGAUUUGGUUGCCUCAUUCAGGAUGAUAUUUUCUAGCUCCAUCCAUUUGUCUACGACUUUCUUGAAAUCAUUGUUUUUAUAGCUUAUUAGUAGUCCAUUGUGUAGAUGUACCAUAUUUUCGGUAUCCAUUCCUCCGAUGAAUGCCAUCUGGGUUCUUUCCAGUCUAUGGGUAUUUUAAAUAAGGCUGCUAUGAACAUUCUUGUGUAUGUGUCUUUUUUGUGUGUCAUCUUUUUGGUAUAUGCCCAGGAGAGGUAUGGCUUGGCCCUCAGUUACAGCAAUGUCCAAUUUUCUGAGGAACCUGUGGACUGAUUUCCAGUGUGGUUGACCCAGUGUGUGAUCCAACCAAAAAAGAAGGAGUGUUCCUCUUUUUUGACAUCCUUAUCAUCAUCUUCUGUCUCCUGAGUUUUUUAUUUCAGUCAUUCUGACUUGGGUGAGGUGGAAUCUCAGGGUUGUUUUCAUUUACAUUUCCCUGAUGACUAAGUAUGAUGAACAUUUCUUUAAUUUCUUCUCGGAUACUUGAUUUCCUUCAGUUGAGAAAUCUUUGUUUAGUUCUAGACCACAAUUUUAAUAAGGUUAUUUGCUUCUCUGAAGUCUAACUUCUUGAGUUCUUUGUAUAUAUUGGAUAAUAGCCCUCUAUCAGAUGUAGGAUUGGUAUAGACCUUUUCCCAAUUUGUGGGUUGCAGUUUUGUCCUAAUGACAGGGUCCUUAGGCAGGCAGUUUUCUACUACAGUGAAGAACUGUCAGUUAGUGAACUAGAACAGGGACUGGCUCCUUCCUGACUUCUCUUUGGGUCCUGAACAGUGAAGAAGGGAACCAAACAACCAAGUUCUCCCCCUACAAGGCAUGUAUAUAAACAGCCAUGGAUCUAGAGACAUCUAUUAGUGAUUCUCAUCAUCCCUCCAGGAAAUGUAUGGUAAUGGGGUUUGUAGUUUUAAUCCUGGCUUCUAUAACUUCAGGCUUUGGUGUUGUGAAGCAAAGAUAUGCCCUGUGCCUGAGGAGGCUGUGUCCUUUGGUUUCUGAAGCAUUGCAAAGGAAGUGAGAGGAAAUAAGCAACCCCUGCUCAACAGAUCUCUGGAUAUGCUGACACUCUUGCUUUAUCUCUAUACGAAGCUACUUCAAAAGAUCACCUCUCAGGAUCUGCUGGAAAGCCAUCAUCCCAACCUUCCAGCAUAAAUGAGCAAAUACAACAGAUUAAGAAGAUGGAGAAACUGACUAUUGAGCUCCAGAAGAUGACCUAAGAACCAACAACAAAGAAGACACCAUCACAGCUGCCUAUCCUCCCCAGCACUACAGGAAGCUGCAGCCUCACAUCACAGUUCAUGAGUAUGAGAACUGCUAGACCCAGUCUGGGAAGAUGUUCCUGUUCAUCGAGCCCACCUUCCAGUAUUGCAGAAAUACCGAAGAAAUCCUAAAUCAACUCCCUUUCAAACAUGGUCUUCUGGGAUUUGUAGACAUCACAGCCACUAACAACAACAAUUCAAUUAAAGAUUACUUACAACAGUAAGUAAUGGAGUGAGAAUAGUUUCUUGGGUCUUUAUAGGUAAUCAAAGACUUCAUAGGCAGAUGCAGUGAUCUAAUCUCCCUGCAACAGAAUGGCGAGCAGAUGACGUGGCU